Molecule: ribosomal RNA, 395 nt
Filed under: uncultured bacterium
Lineage: Bacteria
Description: bacterial SSU rRNA
Rfam family: Bacterial small subunit ribosomal RNA
Source: RNAcentral
AUUGAACGCUGGCGGCAGGCCUAACACAUGCAAGUCGAACGCCCUAGCAAUAGGGAGUGGCGCACGGGUGCGUAACGCGUGGGAAUAUGCCCUUCACUGCGGAAUAACGUUUGGAAACGAACGCUAAUACCGCAUAAUGACUCCGGUCCAAAGAUUUAUCGGUGAAGGAUUAGCCCGCGUUAGAUUAGCUAGUUGGUGAGGUAAUGGCUCACCAAGGCGACGAUCUAUAGCUGGUCUGAGAGGAUGAUCAGCCACACUGGGACUGAGACACGGCCCAGACUCCUACGGGAGGCAGCAGUGAGGAAUAUUGGACAAUGGGCGCAAGCCUGAUCCAGCCAUGCCGCGUGAGUGAAGAAGGCCUUCGGUUGUAAAGCUCUUUCAGAUGUGAAGAUAAU